GAUGAAGAACGCAGUGAAAUGCGAUAAGUAAUGCGAAUUGCAGAAUUCCGUGAGUCAUCGAAUCUUUGAACGCACAUUGCGCCCCCCGGUAUUCCGGGGGGCAUGCCUGUUCGAGCGUCAUUGUCAACCCUCAAGCUCGGCUUGCUGUUGGGUCCCCGUCGUUGCUCCAACGGCGGACCCGAAAGACAAUGGCAGAGUCUGCGGGACCCUGGAUGCAGCGAGCUUCUGGCACGCGUCUGGACGGUCUCUGGGCUUGGCCUCCACCAAUCGUCAACCUGUGAUUGACCUCGGAUCAGGUAGGGAUACCCGCUGAACUUAAGCAUAUCAAUAAGCGGAGGA
RNAcentral lists this unclassified non-coding RNA (339 nucleotides) under soil metagenome. RNAcentral's name for it is "partial contains 5.8S ribosomal RNA, internal transcribed spacer 2, and large subunit ribosomal RNA". The stretch from base 1 to 120 matches the Rfam family "5.8S ribosomal RNA", at positions 35 to 154 of the family's 154-position model. The record is from RNAcentral.